This 386-nucleotide ribosomal RNA is filed under the name uncultured bacterium. Its description in RNAcentral is "bacterial SSU rRNA". It matches the Rfam family "Bacterial small subunit ribosomal RNA", at positions 28 to 417 of the family's 1533-position model. The record is from RNAcentral.
GACGAACGCUGGCGGCGUGCUUAACACAUGCAAGUCGAGCGGUAAGGCCCUUUCGGGGGUACACGAGCGGCGAACGGGUGAGUAACACGUGGGUGACCUGCCUUUAGCUCUGGGAUAAGCCUGGGAAACUGGGUCUAAUACCGGAUACGACUCCGCGGUGCAUGCUGUGGGUGGAAAGCCUUGUGCGGCUGGAGAUGGGCCCGCGGCCUAUCAGCUUGUUGGUGGGGUGAUGGCCUACCAAGGCGACGACGGGUAGCCGGCCUGAGAGGGCGACCGGCCACACUGGGACUGGAGACACGGCCCAGACUCCUACGGGAGGCAGCAGUGGGGAAUCUUGCGCAAUGGCGAAAGCCUGACGCAGCGACGCCGCGUGAGGAUGACGGCCU